AUAUAUCAACAACAUUAAAAUUAUUUCUGCAUACAACAUUCUGUUCAAUUAUCAAUGUAGGAAGCAAGCUUUCAAAUUGCAUAACAACGCGUCCUGUUUGUCGGAUCGAUGACGCAAAUCAUUAAUCUCAAAAACUUGAGCUAUUAGAAAUACGCAACCAAUUCACUUAAACAAAUAGACAAAGUGCCUACGGGUCUCGAUUGUAAUUCGACCUAGUCAGCCUCACGCCACUUUGAGCAUGAUUUGACCCAAUCUAGUCUCCCACUAUUUCGAAAAUGACUCGGUCAGAAUCUCAAAAAUUUGAGCUGUUAGAAAUACGCAACCAAUUCACUUAAACAAAUAGACAAAGUGCCUACGGGUCUCGAUUGUGAUUCGACCUAGUCAGCCUCACGCCACUUUGAGCAUGAUUUGACCCAAUUCGAUCUCCCACUAUUUCGAAAAUGAUUCGGCCAACCUGACCUCCCACCACAAGGCAAAUGUUUGCUUCUUUAAGCCAACAAACCCUCUACUCAGCACCUGCAUAAAUUUAUAGUAUUUGAAAACUAAACUCGUAGCUUCUGACUUCGAUACCGCUUGUCGAAUCGUUGACGCUAAACAUUAAAAGGAUUAAUGGUUAAUACCAAUAAUAUUACAAUGUGGCUACGUGAAUUAAUAG
Molecule: long non-coding RNA, 655 nt
Filed under: Ananas comosus (pineapple)
Lineage: Eukaryota; Viridiplantae; Streptophyta; Magnoliopsida; Poales; Bromeliaceae
Description: long non-coding RNA (ACOM_LNC031286)
Source: RNAcentral